Molecule: long non-coding RNA, 594 nt
Filed under: Struthio camelus australis
Lineage: Eukaryota; Metazoa; Chordata; Aves; Struthioniformes; Struthionidae
Description: lncRNA (ENSSCUG00000003585.1)
Source: RNAcentral
GGGGGCGGUGCAUCAGAGCGCAGGUGGCGCUGCGAGUUAACGUACUUGUCCUCUCAGAGCUCAGGUCUGAUGAUAAACAAGGUCUUCCACGUCAUGGGGACUCCCCAGUGCAGUCUGCACACCUAAAUAUGCCUGCUCCGAGUAAGGAGACUUCCCUCUUUAAGGUGAUUCAGAGCCUGUUAAAGUCAACAGGAGACCUUCCAAUGACUUCAGUGAAAAUUAGAAUAAAAUACAGACAUUAAGGAACAGUUUUAAUUUCAUUCUAACGUAUUCAGUGAAUUGACCUUUCACGGUGCAGUGCUCGACGUGCCCCUCGCUGCCCCCCGUGCAAGGUGAGCUGCCGGGGAGCGCCGGGAAUGCUGAGCCACUCCAAGGAAGCAAUACAGGAAAGGUCAAAGUACAGCACAACAUGGUAAUUUGCAGCCUUGCUUAAUUAACACAGGCACUUUAUUUCAGAAGUAAAAAAUAAUGAUUUUUUUGAAGGGCAUUAUUAACCCAUUCUUUUUCCCCUGUGAUACUACGUGGUGAUUUUUCUACUGAAGCCUGGUUCUGUGGCUUUCGGGCACUGGUGGGGAGCCCCAGUGGCCUCAUCCC